CAUGAUACAUACGUCCCACUUGACAACACAACUUAGAUUAGCUACAAACUCUUUUUACUCUAUAUGUUUAUGAGGUAUUAUACUAUAAAUCCCUUCUUGCUCUGCUUCUGCUCACCCCUGUCUCCUCUCAUCUUUCCGGCUCCCGCCACGAGGGAAAAUGAAUGAAUCUUGUGUGGAUGUCUGAGUUACAGCUGCUGGUGACCCUUGCUCAGCUGUGCUACAUCCUUGUAUUAUUAAUCUUCAUGCCAUUUCCUGCUCCAAUUAACUCUCUGGAAAUAGAAACCUUGCAACUACUUUCGUCAACCAAGUUAGUUUUCAUCUAAUUUGAUAUGUACCUGCAAAGCCAUGACAAAUGAACGAAUAGUUAAUCUUGGAGUGAAACCAUAGAAUUGACAGCGCAAAGCUGAAUGUAAAAUCCGAGCACAACAUCAUAUCCAACUAAGAUUUGGGAUACCUUUUCCUGCAAGCAGGCCACACAGCAACAACAUCUCCAAAGCUAAGCAUCAGUUCGAAUAUAUGCUCAAUCCUCCAUGUCACUGGAAGUAACAUCUAAGCACCUGAAAGACUAAUCUUGUAUCAGACUAUCAGUAGGCAACAACUGCAGAGCAGUAACUAUAUGUGAGCAUAUCACAUAAAUCAAAAGACAAUUUAAAUGAAAGGGUCAAUUAUUAAAAGGAGAAAAUCUUAAGAUGGCAUGCCUCAAACCCAGCAGAGAGGCAAGCAGCCCCCAAAAACAUACUGUAGUGAUCGCUGAUGAAUCCUAAACUUAUCCUAAUCUACUUCACUUCAAAUGCGGUGUGCCACAAUUGGAUUACAACCACCGAUUGUAGAAAUAAAAAUGUGUUGAUAUGGGAGAGCUUUGCCUUCCAGGUGGCCUCUAGCUCGGCGACCUCAUGCUCACGCAAUGCAAUGUAGCUCUGCAUCUCACGCUCCUUCAUGGUGUGAAAAAAAAAACAGAAAACAAGAUAAAAUUAGUUUUCAGUUGCUCAUAUCUGCCUCCUUGGCUCUCUGAGAAUCAGGAUGUUUCCCGUUGUUAGGUAUGGUAGGAAACUUAUACUACACAAGAACAACUUCUAUCAAUUUAAAAUUUGAAGUUUCCAUGGUAAAGAUUAUGCUUAGUAUUCUGGACAAUUUCUUGAUCAUGUUCCUUAGCGGGCAAUGUAGUAAAAUUGGGACGAUCUGCUUCAGCAACCAUUGAUUCCAGAUCACCUGGUGUGGUUUGCUCUUGAGCAUUCUUAUCCCCAGGCUGUUGCUGAAAAAAAAAUAAUUUGGAGAUGACAUAUUAGAUGAAAAGUAAAAUAAGCCUUUUUCUCGACCUACAGUUUUCCUAGGCUAAAUGCAGGCUGUAGGAUGUGAUCAGCAAAAAAAGAGUGCCACAGGACAACAAAUUAUUAACAAUAUAAGCAUUUGACAGUAGUUGUACACUGCAGAUUUUCACAUUUGAUCUUAUCUGAAAGUAAAAGUUCUUAUUUAAGAACCUUAAUCCUGAAUAAUCCCAUAAUCUUUCCUAGCAAGUAUAUUGCAAGAUUGUGACAAAUUCUAAUACAUAAUGCAGUGAGCGCUGCUUAUCCCAAAUUAAAUUAGAUUUGUUGCAUCCAAACAAAUGAAUUCUAGUGCCCCAUAGAAUGGAGAUUAAUUAAACCAAUUUUGAAGCAUGUGUCAUACUUUUGAGAAAAAAAUAAAGCUUACCAAAUGAUAGAUGCAGAUAUACCUGUCUUGAUUUUCACUUGUAAUUUCUAAGUCUCUACCUGCAGUCAAAAUUAAUUAUUAGACCAGAACCAAAAAAGGAUUGGAGCAAAGAGUAGGGAUAUCUGUCUUGCAUUCAGUGCAUGCCAGGCUAUUCAGAGGUAAAUCUAAGAAAAGCAAUGCAAUAUCUUGAUAAUCUUCAGUUACUUCUAGUUCUAGCAUUCAUAGCCAAUAGCAAUAAAUACAGAAACAGGUUCAGACUUCUGAAAGAACUGCUUGGUAUAUCCUGUAC
RNAcentral lists this long non-coding RNA (1978 nucleotides) under Sorghum bicolor (sorghum). RNAcentral describes it as "long non-coding RNA (SBIC_LNC006005)". Lineage: Eukaryota; Viridiplantae; Streptophyta; Magnoliopsida; Poales; Poaceae. The record is from RNAcentral.